This 65-nucleotide transfer RNA is filed under the name Dipodomys ordii (Ord's kangaroo rat). It matches the Rfam family "tRNA". Rfam says of the family: Transfer RNA (tRNA) molecules are approximately 80 nucleotides in length. Lineage: Eukaryota; Metazoa; Chordata; Mammalia; Rodentia; Heteromyidae. The record is from Rfam by way of RNAcentral.
GGUGGCUUAGUGGUAGAGUGCUUGCCUUGCAUGUAAGAGGUCCUGGGUUUGAUUCCUCAGCACCA